AAGGAUAUAUUCGGAACAUCUUCUACGAAGAUGAGGGAAUAACGUGACAUAUUGUAUUCAGUUUUGAAUGUUUAUUAGCAUUCAARUUAUAUAAUGGGCCUAUAGCUCAGCUGGUUAGAGCGCACGCCUGAUAAGCGUGAGGUCGGUGGUUCGAGUCCACUUAGGCCCACCAUUUAUUUGUACAUUGAAAACUAGAUAAGYAAGUAAGAUUUUACCAAGCAAAACCGAGUGAAUAGAGUUUUAAAUAAGCUUGAAUUCAUAAAUAAUCGCUAGUGUUCGAAAGAACACUCACAAGAUUAAUAACUAGUUUUAGCUAUUUAUUUUGAAUAACAAUUCAAAAUAUGGUGGAAACAUA
This 355-nucleotide unclassified non-coding RNA is filed under the name Staphylococcus epidermidis. RNAcentral's name for it is "16S-23S ribosomal RNA intergenic spacer". The stretch from base 96 to 169 matches the Rfam family "tRNA". Lineage: Bacteria; Bacillati; Bacillota; Bacilli; Caryophanales; Staphylococcaceae. The record is from RNAcentral.